RNAcentral lists this long non-coding RNA (423 nucleotides) under Fukomys damarensis (Damara mole-rat). RNAcentral's name for it is "lncRNA (ENSFDAG00000024756.1)". Lineage: Eukaryota; Metazoa; Chordata; Mammalia; Rodentia; Bathyergidae. The record is from RNAcentral.
CUUGUCCUUGCCAUGUGAUGUCCUGCACUGCCUUAGGACUCUGGCAGCAAGAAAGCGAUCACCAGAUGUGGGCCUCCAACCUUGGACUAGAACUGUGCACCAAAUUAUGCAUCUUUGUAAUUCACUCAGUCUGCAGUACUGUGAUAUCAGCAACACAAAACAGACAAAUACACUCAUCGCAACUUAUUGCAAAAGAAUAUUGUGGAGACAAGACAGGAGGGGCUGGAGACUCAUUUCUAAGUGAAGUUGGAGAUGCGACUGUUGACUGUCACAACAUCAAAAGCACAGAGAGAAGUUGCUGCCUUGACCUAAACGUGAACUAAAAUGCUGCCUUUCCAUUGCCCAGCUAUGUGACUCUGGACACUUAAACUCUCUGAACCUCGGCAGCCUCAUCUGUAAGGCAGAAAUAACAAUGUUUACUUU